AUUCAACUGAUGCGUUCAAAAUAGGACGAAGCUCGCGUUCUGAAU
Non-coding RNA from Schistosoma haematobium, 45 nucleotides. The record is from Rfam. NCBI's taxonomy places the organism in Eukaryota, Metazoa, Platyhelminthes, Trematoda, Strigeidida, Schistosomatidae.